CAGCCUUCUCUCUCCACUAGAUUUAUUCAUUUCCACCUGGUGCUGAAGCUCUCUGUUCAGUCCUUAAUGUUCAAGUGCUAAAGAGGAGACGCUAACGCGGGUGGAUGCCCACUUAUGAACAGUGGGGGGAACACUAAUGCCCAAAAUUAGAAUGUUUCCAACCACAGCAGCUCUGAAUGUCAUCAUUAUGCCCUCAAACGCCAUUUCUGAUGAUUCGUUUUAAAAAGUAAAUUUGUACGACGGAUGCAUGUGAAAGAUGUGGCGCAGCAGGCGUUCAACGUGACAAAUAGGAGUAGGCUUGGCACGGCAGAAUGCAGGUACAAUGUCUCCAUUCUAAGGUUGAAUAAGAGGAAUGAGUGAGAACAUUAUUUCCUGGUCUAGAAAUAAAAAUAGUUACCUUAUGGUAGCAUCAGAGGCAAUAUAACAAUGUGGCUUUACUGUGGCUCUCUAACCUCCUGAUAGAGAACUACUUCUGAAUAGUAAACCAGCUCCAGCACUGACACUGGACAGGAGUGCUACUGUCACUGUCCACUAUUCCAGAUCAGUACAGUUUCCAUGGGCUCUUUGAAGUUAUUCCAGUGAUUUCUUUCAAAGCAGUCCCACAUAGUAGAGGCCGUCUGUUUUACAGCACGUGGAGUGGAGGAGAGUAAAGGCCUUUAGCCUUCGAGCAAUGCAGAGGGUCACUAUGGCAACACCCAUGUAACAAUAAAAACAUUGUUUAUUUCAUAUCUGGGUCAAAAUCCAGAACGGAUGCAGUACCAUGCGUUUCACUGCUAAGUGUGACCAGUAGAUCCUGAGGUGAACCAUACGAGAUGGAGGUGAUGGUCGUGUGGGAAGAUGGACCCUGGCAGAAUCCCCAGAGACCAUCCCCUUUGAUGGCCGGCACCAUGGAAACAUCCAGUGAUUUGUCAGUCACAGUCUCCCUGUUGCCUAUUUGUAGAUCCGCAGGAGCAAAAGGGUGGCAAUGAAAAGCUUAGGACCUCCAUGGACCGGCGAGGCGCAAGAGAGAGCACUUUGAUGCUUCGAGAAACAACAUCUGCUUCCUGUAAACAGACGCGUGCCGCAUUAAGCAGCUUCUGGAGCGCAGCUAGACGUCAAACUUUAUUAUCAUUGUAAUGACGCCAAUAUGGCAGCAGUACACUGCUAUGGGGACACUAUGGGGAUAAAUGGUAUGUUGAAAAAAAAAGAGGGGGUUUUAUGUGGCACAGCAUUACGACGUUGGCAACAUUCUGCCUAAAGUAAUUCAGUAAAUCCUGAAACGUUGGGAAUGGGAGUUUCUACGGGCGUUUCUUGGCUUGUGUUCGUCAUUCUUGCCAAAGUAAACAGAUCUUCAGGGUCACAGAUGUUUAAUUACAAAUACAAAUGAUUGGUAAUGAACCAAACUGUCUGUGUCAAGCUACUACUAACAGCAUAAUGCAGAAAUACUGAAACGCAGUCUCUGCAAGAGCUAGGAUAUAUCAAUCUUAAGCCAAUACAUUAGACAGGAAUUAAUAAUUUUAUAACAUUUUAAGGACAAUUCCUACAUAAGCACACUGACACCAACAAGUUAAACAGGA
This is a long non-coding RNA of Betta splendens (Siamese fighting fish), 1556 nucleotides long. NCBI's taxonomy places the organism in Eukaryota, Metazoa, Chordata, Actinopteri, Anabantiformes, Osphronemidae. The record is from Ensembl.